UGGCCGGUGCUGUACCUCCGUGGGUUUGGAACUUAGUGGCUGGGGGGCCCCGGGCCCGAGUGCCGACUUGCGCGCGGUCCUCCCAGCCCCGCUCUCCCUCGGGCUCGGUCCGCCCUCUGCAGACGGCCUUUCCUGCAGACGGCCCCUGGGACCCGCGUACCUUUGAGGCCUUCAGAAGGUUCUUACAAAGGUAGUGGAAAGGAGCUACCUGAGCUCUUCUACCCCUAAAUGGCUACAGAAUCAAGAAAGCCUUCAGCCCCAUCUCCACCAGACCAAGCUCCUGAGGAGGAUCUUGUCAUCAUCAAGGUAGAAGAAGACCAUGGUUGGGACCAGGAAUGUGGCCUGCAUGAAAGUAACCCUCCUGGCCAAGAACUAUUUCGCCAACGCUUCAGACGGUUGUGUUACCAAGAGACACUAGGACCCCGAGAAGCUCUGAUUCAACUCCGGGCACUUUGCCAUCAGUGGCUUAGGCCAGACUUGAACACCAAGGAGCAGAUCCUGGAGCUACUGGUGCUUGAGCAAUUCCUGACCAUUCUACCUGAGGAGCUGCAGGCUCUAGUUAAAGAACAUCAGUUAGAGAAUGGAGAGGAAGUGGUGACCCUAUUGGAAGAUUUGGAAAGGCAGAUCGAUAUACUGGGGCGGCCUGUCCCAGCUCGUGCACAUGGCCAUAGGGUACUUUGGGAGGAGAUAUUGCCUUCAGAAUCUUCACCAAGUACUCAUCUCCAACCUGUGGCAACCCAGCGUAAAUCUCCAGUGCCCCAAAAGCCUCAAGAAAGUGCCAUGUGUACUUCUCAAAGUCCUACCCCUUCUCAGAAAGGAAGUUCUGGAAACCAGGAGAUGACAGCUACACUUCUCACAGCAGGGUUCCAGACAUUGGAGAAGAUCGAAGACAUGGCUGUGUCUCUUAUUCAAGAGGAGUGGCUUCUUGAUCCGAGUAAAGAUAACAGGCCAGAGAAUUACAGAAAUAUGUUCUCCCUGGGUGGUGAGUCCAGGAAUGAGAACAAGGAAUUAGCUUCAAAACAGGUAAUAUCUCCUGGAAUCCAACCACAUGGAGAGACAACUGCCAAAUGCAACGGGGAUGUUAUCGGGGGUUUUAAGCAUGGAGAAGCCCGAGACUCUUUGGGCAGAUUAGAAAGGCAGCGGGGAAAUCCCACCCAAGAGAAACGACAUAAGUGUGAUGAAUGUGGAAAAAGCUUUGCUCAGAGCUCAGGCCUUGUUCGCCACUGGAGAAUCCACACUGGAGAGAAACCCUAUCAGUGUAAUGUGUGUGGGAAAGCCUUCAGUUACAGGUCAGCCCUUCUUUCCCAUCAGGAUAUCCACAACAAAGUAAAACGCUAUCACUGUAAGGAAUGUGGUAAAGCCUUCAGUCAAAACACAGGCCUGAUCCUGCACCAGAGAAUUCACACUGGGGAGAAGCCAUAUCAGUGCAAUCAGUGUGGAAAGGCUUUCAGUCAGAGUGCGGGCCUUAUUCUGCACCAGAGAAUCCACAGUGGGGAACGACCCUAUGAAUGUAAUGAAUGUGGGAAAGCUUUCAGUCAUAGCUCACACCUCAUUGGACAUCAAAGAAUCCACACCGGGGAGAGGCCCUAUGAGUGUGAUGAAUGUGGGAAAACGUUCAGGCGGAGUUCACAUCUUAUUGGUCAUCAGAGGAGUCACACUGGGGAGAAACCUUACAAAUGCAAUGAGUGUGGGAGGGCCUUCAGUCAAAAGUCAGGCCUUAUUGAACACCAGAGAAUCCACACUGGAGAAAGACCCUAUAAGUGUAAAGAAUGUGGGAAAGCUUUCAAUGGGAACACUGGUCUCAUUCAACAUUUGAGAAUCCACACAGGAGAAAAGCCUUAUCAAUGCAAUGAGUGUGGGAAAGCGUUUAUUCAGAGGUCCAGUCUGAUUCGACAUCAGAGAAUCCACAGUGGAGACAAAUCUGAAACUAUAGGAGUUUAGGAAAAACUUUGGUCCUAGUUUCAAGAUUACUCAAUUUAAGAGAAACCAUACACUGUUGCAAAGAUCUUUCAAUGUAGUAAUAAGGCAGAAAGUUUGUAGUUUGGGCCCAGUGCCUUGAAAAUUGAUUAGCUUGGUUACUUUCUUUGAAAGUAUCUGAUGGAGCCCUGACAGCCUAAUGAAUCCUUUAGAAAUUAAAAAUAGCAUUAUAGCAAGUUGCUUGUCGUGGCUUGAGGCACUAAACUUUGUCUUUUUGGGUGAGUAGCUGUAGGUUUGAGAGAGGCUGCUGCUCCUAGCUUCUCUGCUCUCAUUUCCUGGGAUACCCUCCUCCCACUGAUUCCUCAGAGGUGCCCUUGUAAUUUGUAGUCUGAUCUAAGAAGCUGUUCUAGAGUCCAAAGCAGCCUCUCGAUGAUAGAUUUGUAUUUAGCUUUUGAAGAUCCUAGUUCUAGGGAAGUUUUUGCACUUAAACAUACUUAUGCUUAAGUGUUUCUUUUUUAUGCUAAUAUUCCCUUCUAGUUGUGAAAAAUCCAUAUUCCCAUGCAAACAGAGAAUGCUAUAUUUUUGACAGCAUUCCAGCAUUUACCAUUUUCACUGACCACUGAGUCAUUGAACAUCUGUCCUUAUUCUUCACCACCCCCAGUCCCAGUACCUGUGUCAGCAAAGGAAGUGGACGCAUUAGUGAUGGUUUUGAGAGUGAUGCAGAGAAAGAGGUGAGUGGAGACUCAGCCUGGCUAUUCUUGAGCUUGGAUAGUUGUACAUGGUGGUGAUCUCUGAUUCUCCUUCCAUCUGUGUACACUGGUACAGAAGAUAUGUGCACUACCCUAGUUAUUGUGUCAAAUAGGAGAAAGAGGAGAUGGGGCGGGAGGAGGGAUUCUUGAAGAAGACAUAAGAACUCUUACAAAGAAUGUAUGUCAUUCCUUCUAGGCCACUACAGUACUGCUCUCUCAGGUUACUAUCAGGCUGCACAGAUUUUAUAACUAGAUGGUUUUUCUUGCCAUUACCCCAGAUCUACCUUCUUAGAUGGCCUCAGCACAUCACUGAUCAUUUUCCAUCUCUUUCUUGCCACUCAUUUUUAUAAUAUUAAUGUCUAUGAUGGCCAUCUGUCUAAUACCUUACCUACAAUUCCUAAGUCUUUGAAUUCUAAUGUACUUCAUGAGAAGACAAUUCUUGUCUUCAUCAUAGUUCAUCCUUGAGGUUUUUAGUAUACCAAGGGUUACUCUAUAGAGUAGUGAGAGUGGUUUCCAAUAACAUGUCAGAUGGUAUGCAUUGCAAAUGAGAUGUCCUUUAAAUUGAGUACUUCUACUUUAAAAUACUAUUUUUCUGAUAGUAUUGCUAUUCCUCCAACCACUGGGAAGUUCCUAUUUCAUCAACUGUGCAAGGAAAUACUGUGUUUCUGUAUUCUGUAUCACAUUUUGGUUUUGACCAUUUGAUUAGCCACUUAGUCACUAGGCUUGAAAUAGAAUAACUUGCUUUCCAAAAUUAACCCUCACACAUGAAAUUAUUCCAUAAGUCUAUUAAAAGAAAACCAUGUGGGUUUUCAUGAAAACUCCCAAGAGAAAUUACACACUUUCACACUGUGAUUAUCCUAGAAAAGGAUAAUAGUUAUGCUGUCUUAUGAUUGGUGUGUUUAAAGAAAUCAGUCAUAGAUUCUUACCUCAUAGAGGUCCACCUUUUUCUGUCAUAAAUUCUUGAUAACAUCUCUCUACCUCCUUGUGGCUCAGCUUUGAUCACAAACAUACCUACAUUUCCUUCACUGAGCCAGUGUAUUUAUUCAUCACUUGUCCUAGUUUCUUGGGUUAAUUUUUACAGGAAUCCUUUUCAUUUUUCUCUUAACCUCUUUCCUUUCCUUUACUCCCUCUCUCCCACAUGUAGAUUAGCAUUUCUAACUCCCUGUACUUUAUAAGAAAUCAGGAACAAGUAUAUUUAGUUCUGCCUGAAUCUUUGCUCCCUGCUGGGGUUGUGCCUUGCCCUCUAUAAAAUAAUAAUUCUGCCUGGGGCCCCUGCUACCUUGUAUCCAAAUAUUACAUAGGAUGGCUAAUUCGUCAGAGGGAAAAUGGGCACAUCUGUGUGUAUACAUCCACUUAUCCCAUAUACUUUCGAGGAACACUUGCCUUCAAUUCCAGUAAAUAUCGAUUUUAGCAGAGCAUCUUAAUGAAAUGUCUGUAUAGUACCUCUUUAGGCACUAGUACCCACAGUAAUGUGUGCCCAGAUUAUUAGAGUCUCAAAAUUACUAAGCAUCUGGCAGAAAUUCAAUCAGAGAAAAGAGCGUCACUUAAAGGCUUUCAAAGCUCAUUCAGCAUAUAUAUGGAAAUAGCCACAUGGUAUCAAAAAUAGUUAUUUUUU
This is an RNA transcript of Perognathus longimembris pacificus (Pacific pocket mouse), 4281 nucleotides long. It is a transcript of the gene named zinc finger with KRAB and SCAN domains 8, with no coding region annotated. The record is from RefSeq and is a predicted model, not a curated record. The transcript is spliced from 7 exons. Lineage: Eukaryota; Metazoa; Chordata; Mammalia; Rodentia; Heteromyidae.